RNAcentral lists this ribosomal RNA (124 nucleotides) under Otolemur garnettii (small-eared galago). Lineage: Eukaryota; Metazoa; Chordata; Mammalia; Primates; Galagidae. The record is from RNAcentral.
GUCUACAGCUAUGCCACCCUGAAAUGCGCCAUGUCUUGUCUGAUCUUGGAAGCUAAACAGGGUCAGGCCUGGUUAAUACUUGGAUGAGAGAGCAAAAUAACCAUGACAAAAUGACCCUGUGACA